GUGGGGAAUAUUGGACAAUGGGCGAAAGCCUGAUCCAGCCAUGCCGCGUGAGUGAUGAAGGCCUUAGGGUUGUAAAGCUCUUUCAGUGGGGACGAUAAUGACGGUACCCACAGAAGAAGCCCCGGCUAACUUCGUGCCAGCAGCCGCGGUAAUACGAAGGGGGCUAGCGUUGUUCGGAUUUACUGGGCGUAAAGCGCACGUAGGCGGAUCGUUAAGUCAGGGGUGAAAUCCUGGAGCUCAACUCCAGAACUGCCUUUGAUACUGGCGAUCUAGAGUCCGGAAGAGGUGAGUGGAACUCCUAGUGUAGAGGUGGAAUUCGUAGAUAUUAGGAAGAACACCAGUGGCGAAGGCGGCUCACUGGUCCGGUACUGACGCUGAGGUGCGAAAGCGUGGGGAGCAAACAGGAUUAGAAACCCUUGUAGUCC
Molecule: ribosomal RNA, 425 nt
Filed under: uncultured bacterium
Lineage: Bacteria
Description: partial 16S ribosomal RNA
Rfam family: Bacterial small subunit ribosomal RNA
Source: RNAcentral